This 404-nucleotide ribosomal RNA is filed under the name Fusobacteriota bacterium. Its description in RNAcentral is "Fusobacteria bacterium partial 16S ribosomal RNA". It matches the Rfam family "Bacterial small subunit ribosomal RNA", at positions 355 to 776 of the family's 1533-position model. Lineage: Bacteria; Fusobacteriati; Fusobacteriota. The record is from RNAcentral.
UGGGGAAUAUUGCACAAUGGAGGGAACUCUGAUGCAGCGACGCCGCGUGAGUGAUGAAGGAAUUCGUUUCGUAAAACUCUGUUCUAUGGGAAGAAAAGGACUGUACCAUAGGAGAAAGCUCCGGCUAAAUACGUGCCAGCAGCCGCGGUAAUACGUAGGGCGCGAGCGUUGUCCGGAUUUAUUGGGCGUAAAGGGCUUGUAGGCGGUUUGUCGCGCCUGUCGUGUAAUCCUCUGGCUUAACUGGGGGUGUGCGGUGGGUACGGGCAGGCUUGAGUGCGGUAGGGGAGAUUGGAAUUCCUGGUGUAGCGGUGGAAUGCGCAGAUAUCAGGAGGAACACCGGUGGCGAAGGCGGGUCUCUGGGCCGUUACUGACGCUGAGGAGUGAAAGCGUGGGGAGCGAACAGG